UGCAGAGAAGCUAAAGGAAGGAAUCUACUGU
Molecule: non-coding RNA, 31 nt
Filed under: Macaca fascicularis (crab-eating macaque)
Lineage: Eukaryota; Metazoa; Chordata; Mammalia; Primates; Cercopithecidae
Also listed under: 1 other name
Source: RNAcentral